AAAAAACGUUCCUGUUAGAUGCUAAAGGAAGUGCUUCGUGUGUCUCAUCUUUUCUAUAUCACAGAAUGAGAGAGAGAGACAAGACUACCUUGGAGCCCGGAGCCAUGAUGCAGAGCUUUUGCAUGCCUGCUUACAUCUCUCACUAUCCCCUCAACCAGCCAUGGCAGCUGUGUGUGUAAAGAAAAUGCCAUGUGAGCCUGCAUUCUGAGAUCUAAAGACUUUUAGCUUUAAGCUUUUAGCUGCGUCAAGACCUGGACCUAAUUGUUUCAGUCAGGCUUCUGAAAAGAUCACCUACUUUGGUUUUUCUUUUUUUUUGAGAGUUCAUUAUUUUAUUUCGUUGAGUGUACUCAAAUCACAAUGUUCCAAAUGAAAGCAGCGUGAGGAUCCAUGCCAUUUUGCUAUUCGAAACCAAUUUCUUCAAGUGUUGGACAAGGUAGUACAUUUCACAAAAGACAUUUUAUCCAUCUAACAAGUAAUCUGAGAAAUACUUGAAUCACUCUUUUUUUUUUUUUUUUUUUCAGCAAAGCACCACUCCUGCUUUUAUGUCUUUAGCCAUGCCAUCUUAUCAACAGCUUCAUUUCAAGGGGGCGGGGGGAGCAAUUAAAAUUGUAAUAACUGAUUUUAUUAAAAGAUGAUUGAAUCUUGCUAAUACUUGUGCUCCGAUUAAAAAGCAAUAUCGCAAGUAAUGUGGUUUCAAAGAUGUCCCACACAAUUGUCAAAUGCUCCACUGUACAUUGUCAGUUGCAUGUCAGUUGCAUGGUGUACAAUUUAAACCAGAUGUGUGCAUACAAAACUUAUCAUAGUCUUUUUUUCACUUACAUUGACUCAUAUUUAACUUUUCCGGUUUUAGAUCAGCUAGAAUGACUAAAGUUUUCUUCUAUGCCUGAACAGUUUAUAGUCACCUGAUCAUACAUAUGAUUGUAAUAAACUGAUAGCUGAAGCAGA
Molecule: long non-coding RNA, 945 nt
Organism: Xiphophorus hellerii (green swordtail)
Lineage: Eukaryota; Metazoa; Chordata; Actinopteri; Cyprinodontiformes; Poeciliidae
Exons: 2
Source: RefSeq, a predicted model, not a curated record